UAAUACAGAGGGUGCAAGCGUUAAUCGGAAUUACUGGGCGUAAAGCGCGCGUAGGUUGGUAAAUGUGUUGGCUGUGAAAUCCCCGAGCUCAACUUGGGACGGUCAGCCAAAACUGUUUACCUAGAGUAUGGUAGAGGAAAGUGGAAUUUCAGGUGUAGCGGUGAAAUGCGUAGAUAUCUGAAGGAACAUCAGUGGCGAAGGCGACUUUCUGGACCAAUACUGACACUGAGGCGCGAAAGCGUGGGGAGCAAACAGG
RNAcentral lists this ribosomal RNA (256 nucleotides) under uncultured bacterium. RNAcentral describes it as "partial 16S ribosomal RNA". It matches the Rfam family "Bacterial small subunit ribosomal RNA", at positions 521 to 776 of the family's 1533-position model. The record is from RNAcentral.